CAGCAGUGCAAGGUUGAGGAUCUAGGACAACAGACUGCUGUAGGAGGAGUUUGAUUAUGAAAGAAUUCCACUGGCCUGAGGCAUGCUGUUCAGUCAUGAAUCACCAUCCACAAAGGGCUGCACCUCUUUCUCAGACCCGGAAAGUUUCCACACUUUCAGAAGUUUUUGGUUGCGAUGAGGAACGUUCAGGAUGACCUUAGAGAUACUGCUAGUCCUCUUCACCUUGAUCUGGCAAAACAAACAAGGCAGGCAGCUACUUCCCUGAGGAACACACUCCUUCAAAAGGCCAUCAAUGUGUAGAGUACUUCAGCUCCUGCUUUCAGACAGAGGAUUCCUGUGCUUCAGACAUCGGAGAGAACCUGGAGGUAACAGAGGAAUCACUGGAGAAGGAGUGUUUUUAAAGAUUUAUACUUCAGGCAUUUGCAAGUAAAUGUCAUUUGUGGCCAGAGGAGACGGAUUUCACUUUGUUGAAAGCUCAUAAUUAUGAUUAUAAGAAUAUCAAAACAAAAAGUCUUUUUUCCUGUUGUGUUUAUUGUGUUAUUAGUCAUUAGUUUAUACAGUAAAUAAUAGUAGAAUAUAUUUAGUAAAUAUUAACAUAAGUGUGUCUGUGUGUUUAAUUGUGUGUAAUAUGUGCAUUGUUGUGUAUAUAAAUAUACCCCGUCAACUGUCCAAAAAAGCACAUGAGAGUAUUUUUUAAGUUAUGGAAUCUUGCAGACCUAACAGCUUUGGUAUAAUUACUGAUUAAUUACUGAUUUAAUCAGAGGUGGUAUUAACUGACGCUUGACUAUUAGUAGUCAUGAUUGAGGUAGACUAAAGGCAUUAGCUGAAAGCGAUAUGAACCACAAGGCUUUUCAUCGAUG
Brienomyrus brachyistius is the source of this 860-nucleotide long non-coding RNA. RefSeq lists it as uncharacterized. Lineage: Eukaryota; Metazoa; Chordata; Actinopteri; Osteoglossiformes; Mormyridae. The record is from RefSeq and is a predicted model, not a curated record. The transcript is spliced from 3 exons.